ACCAGUGCUCCUUGUAAGCAAGGACAAGGCCGCGGGGACGCACGUGAUAAGGAAGACUCGUGUCCUUGUGCUCGGGACCCAGCCCCGCAGUCUGUAUCACGGACAGCGCACGGGGUCUGGCCUCCAGGCAGCCACGGCGUGGCUCGGGGGACAAGAUCUCCCACCUGGGGCCGAGGGCAGCACAGGACAGCAUGCGCUGGAACAAGUGGUGGCCCUGAGGCCAGUGGGUGAGCUCUGGGUGAACGUGGGUCCUUCCUGGUCUGGUGCUUGGAGGAGGAAGCUUUCCGAGCAGGGCGGCCAGCGUGGCAUGUGGGACUCCCCGGAGGUCAAGAGGGGCCAGCCCCGCCCCCCCCGCAGCCCCUGGCAAGACGCCUGUGGAUGAGAGCCACCAUGGGACCCUGACUGCCCUGGAAGAGGCCAGCCUGCCGGGAUGUUCUGUUCUUCCUUAAAGACACACGCACGUGAACACGCUCCCACACCCACACGUGCACGCACAAAUGCAGGAAGCAGCCCUGACCCUCACCCUCCUGCUUGCUCCCCUUGGGUCUCCAGCCUCCAGGGGACCCCUCUCGAGGGUCUGCUGACAUCCUGCCACCCUAGUCUGCCCGGACUCCUCUCCACCUGUCUGGAAGACAGGGCCGCUUCCUGACAGGUGUUCCUCUGCCUUCCACAUCCUGGAAGCUUCCCCAGGGCUGAAAAUGCCUGGUGAGUGGCAGGCCAGCCUCAGGUGGACUAUGUGGGGCCUCCACGGUCCAGAGGUUUCCAGCUGGUGUCCCGCUCAGUCGUCCGAUGGCCAGUCGCCCGUGUCCACCUUGGAGCUGAGUUGGGCCGGGAGAUAGCAGAGUGGGAAGCCCAGAGAACGUUCUAGGCGGGCCUGCCAGGGACAGGGAGUGAGCGCCUCUGUCUGGGAGGCCCGUGGGAGGCUAUUGGUCCAACGGCACUGCCAGAGGACGUGUGUGAAUCCCAACUCCCGAGGCAGACGGCUUCGGAGGUGUGGGCCACCGCCUGCCUCUGACGCGGCUCGUUCUGUUCGCCUCUGCUUCCUGGCCCGCUGCGGGUGGAGUCCCCUGCCAGGAACGAUGGUGCCACCUGGCUCCGUCCUCGACGCUCUGACGUCUGCACUCCGCCGUUUGGGCCAAGAUGGAAACCAAGCGGAAUGUUCCCGACGUGGGAUCUCCUUGUCCCACGGUCCCGUGGCACCCGAGCCACGUCGAGUGGGAAGGAGAGCCGUCCCUCCCCGGGUCCUCCUUCCCCUCUGGGAGCCUCGUCCACUGUUGGUUUUGGGGGAAAGUGGAGUCUGCAGAACUCUCUGGCCCCUUACGACAGACAGGCAGGAGUGGUGAGACGAGGGCUCAGGUGGUCUGAGUCCUAGCGGGGGCUGAGGACCACACACGGAUCCCCCACCACCUCUACGUGGCUCACACCCACCCCAGCCAUCUCCCACCACAGUACUUCCGGCACCCCACCCCCCGCCCCCCACCGGCUCUAUGGCUGGGACCACGGGCCUCCCCCUGCCCCCAGGACCCUGCUGGGAAGUCGGGAAAGUCUGGCCCCACACCAACCGAAACAUGACCCCGGAAGCCCAGGCUCGGCCCCACUGAUUCAUCAGCGGAGCAAACUUCCUGCCCCCACCUGCCCCCACUCGGCUCACGCUCCCGUCAGCCAGAGCUCGGGGAAGAGGGUGAGGCCCUCCUGCUUGCACAGCGUCCCGGCUCCGACCCCAUGAGGCUGGACGUCUGCUAGGCCGAUGACGGAUGUGACCACAGGCAGACAGUGGGCAUCAGGGCCACAGAAGCCUGGGAUCCGGCGGAAGAGGCCUUAAGAUCAGCAGGCCACGGGGCGCCGUGUGGGGCGGCAGGGAUCGGACGCAGCGUCAGCUUUUUAAGUCCUGUGUGGAUUUUCCUGCACAUUAGCAAAAAGCGUAGAGCAUCAAAACCUCGACGGAAGGAUUUCAUCUCUUGUGGCCGAAGACUGGUGAGGAGGGCCGUUAGCCCCCGGCUGGCCGAACGGAAAGCGCCAGGCGCGUCGUGGACCGGCCCGGCUGAAAUUCUGCCGUGGCCGGUGGGUGACGGAGGCGUGGGGAGCAUCCAUCUAGCCCAGGGCUCUGCGAACUGUUUCUGGAAAGGGCCAGAGGGUAAAUAUUUAGGCUCUGUGGCCAGCGGUCUCUGCUACAUCCUCUCUGUUGCAAAAGUCACAGGAGACACGACGUGAACGAGUGGGCGUGGCCGAGCCACAAUGAAACUUGAUUUAUGGACCUGAAAUCUGACUUGGGUGCAGCCUCCACAGGUCGUCUUCCCCUCCCCCCACCCCAGCCACUUACGAAUGUUAAAACCGGGGCACCCGCGCGGCUCGGUCGGUUGAGCAUCUGACUUUGGCUCAGCUCACGAUCUCACGGUUGGUGGGUCGGAGCCCCGCGUCGGGCUCUGUGCUGACAGCUCGGAGCCUGCUGUGGAUCAUGUGUCUCCCUCCCUCUCUCUGCCCCUCUCAAAAUAAAUAAAUAAACUUUAAAAAUGACUAAAU
Neofelis nebulosa (Clouded leopard) is the source of this 2520-nucleotide long non-coding RNA. RefSeq lists it as uncharacterized. The transcript has 4 exons. Lineage: Eukaryota; Metazoa; Chordata; Mammalia; Carnivora; Felidae. The record is from RefSeq and is a predicted model, not a curated record.